This 279-nucleotide ribosomal RNA is filed under the name uncultured bacterium. Its description in RNAcentral is "partial 16S ribosomal RNA". It matches the Rfam family "Bacterial small subunit ribosomal RNA", at positions 506 to 784 of the family's 1533-position model. The record is from RNAcentral.
UGCCAGCAGCCGCGGUAAUACGGAGGGUGCGAGCGUUAAUCGGAAUUACUGGGCGUAAAGGGCGCGUAGGCGGAAUGGUAAGUUAGAAGUGAAAAUUCAGGGCUUAACCCUGGACCUGCUUUUAAUACUGCCGUUCUCGAGUGCGAGAGAGGAAAGCGGAAUUCCCGGUGUAGCGGUGAAAUGCGUAGAUAUCGGGAAGAACACCGGUAGCGAAGGCGGCUUUCUGGCUCGUAACUGACGCUGAGGCGCGAAAGCGUGGGGAGCGAACAGGAUUAGAUA